RNAcentral lists this ribosomal RNA (391 nucleotides) under uncultured bacterium. RNAcentral describes it as "bacterial SSU rRNA". It matches the Rfam family "Bacterial small subunit ribosomal RNA", at positions 28 to 414 of the family's 1533-position model. The record is from RNAcentral.
GACGAACGCUGACGGUGUGCUUUAGACAUGCAAGUCGAGCGAGAAAGCCCUUCGGGGUUAGUAAAGCGGCGAACGGGUGAGUAACACGUGGGCAAUCUGCCCCUCGCAGGGGGACAACCGGGGGAACUCCGGCUAAUACCCCGUAAGCUAUGUGGAUCGCAUGGUUCACAUAGGAAAGGUAGCUUCGGCCAUCCGGCGAGGGAUGAGCCCGCGGUACAUUAGCUAGUUGGUGGGGUAACGCCUACCAAGGCGGCGAUGUAUAGCUGGUCUGAGAGGAUGAUCAGCCACACUGGGACUGAGACACGGCCCAGACUCCUACGGGAGGCAGCAGUCGGGAAUCUUGCACAAUGGGCGAAAGCCUGAUGCAGCAACACCGUGUGAGCGAUGAAGG